This 324-nucleotide ribosomal RNA is filed under the name uncultured eukaryote. RNAcentral's name for it is "partial 18S ribosomal RNA". It matches the Rfam family "Eukaryotic small subunit ribosomal RNA", at positions 1470 to 1796 of the family's 1831-position model. The record is from RNAcentral.
CCCUUAGAUGUUCUGAACCGCACGCGUGCUACACUGAUGCAUUCAACGAGCUUUACCUUGGCCGAGAGGCCUGGGAAAUCUUUUUAGCAUGCAUCGUGAUAGGGAUUGAUUAUUGCAAUUAUUAAUCAUGAACGAGGAAUUCCUAGUAAACGCAUUUCAUCAAAAUGCAUUGAUUACGUCCCUGCCCUUUGUACACACCGCCCGUCGCACCUACCGAUUGAGUGGUCCGGUGAAGUCUCGAGAUUGUGGCAAUCUCCUUUAUUGGAGUUUGACUGCGAGAACUUGCCUAAACCUUAUCACUUAGAGGAAGGUGAAGUCGUAACA